GGGGCUGUAGCUCAAUUGGUAGAGCGUUAGACUGAAGAUCUAAAGGCAACUAGUUCGAAACUAGUCAGUCCCA
Molecule: transfer RNA, 73 nt
Filed under: Lotharella vacuolata
Lineage: Eukaryota; Cercozoa; Chlorarachniophyceae
Description: tRNA-Phe
Rfam family: tRNA
About the family: Transfer RNA (tRNA) molecules are approximately 80 nucleotides in length.
Source: RNAcentral